AGCUUGCUCCCGGUGGUUAGCGGCGGACGGGUGAGUAACACGUGGGCAACCUGCCUGUAAGACUGGGAUAACACCGGGAAACCGGUGCUAAUACCGGAUAAUUCUUAUCGACACAUGUCGGUAAGCUGAAAGUCGGUUUCGGCUGACACUUACAGAUGGGCCCGCGGCGCAUUAGCUAGUUGGUGAGGUAACGGCUCACCAAGGCGACGAUGCGUAGCCGACCUGAGAGGGUGAUCGGCCACACUGGGACUGAGACACGGCCCAGACUCCUACGGGAGGCAGCAGUGGUCAUGCUUU
This 297-nucleotide ribosomal RNA is filed under the name Bacillus sp. PG1.1. RNAcentral describes it as "partial 16S ribosomal RNA". It matches the Rfam family "Bacterial small subunit ribosomal RNA", at positions 77 to 357 of the family's 1533-position model. Lineage: Bacteria; Bacillati; Bacillota; Bacilli; Caryophanales; Bacillaceae. The record is from RNAcentral.